This is a long non-coding RNA of Arabidopsis thaliana (thale cress), 302 nucleotides long. RefSeq annotates it as other RNA. Lineage: Eukaryota; Viridiplantae; Streptophyta; Magnoliopsida; Brassicales; Brassicaceae. The transcript is spliced from 2 exons. The record is from RefSeq.
CCGUUUACAAGGUGUUUCUACAGCCGAGCUUAAACUUACGUAAAUACAAACUUCACAAGUCAAAACUAGACUUAUGCUUUUGAAUCCGAAGUAGAAGUUUUUAUUGCUCUUCUCUGCAUAUUUCAGGUGCAAGGACAGUCUAUAGUACAGUUUUCUUCUCGAUGUGGGACUUUCUCUUGAUCAACAACUUCCUCGAGGUGGGCUUCGUUUGAUGCUGGGCUCUUUUAUCUUUAACGGGCCGAUCUUUUCUUCCUUCCUUCCUUGUUGCUAAUUUCGAUGUGUUGGGCUUUUAAACAUGUUGG